This 73-nucleotide transfer RNA is filed under the name Oscillatoriales cyanobacterium. Its description in RNAcentral is "tRNA-Arg". It matches the Rfam family "tRNA". From Rfam's summary of the family: Transfer RNA (tRNA) molecules are approximately 80 nucleotides in length. Their secondary structure includes four short double-helical elements and three loops (D, anti-codon, and T loops). Further hydrogen bonds mediate the characteristic L-shaped molecular structure. tRNAs have two regions of fundamental functional importance: the anti-codon, which is responsible for specific mRNA codon recognition, and the 3' end, to which the tRNAs corresponding amino acid is attached (by aminoacyl-tRNA synthetases). tRNAs cope with the degeneracy of the genetic code in two manners: having more than one tRNA (with a specific anti-codon) for a particular amino acid; and 'wobble' base-pairing, i.e. permitting non-standard base-pairing at the 3rd anti-codon position. Lineage: Bacteria; Bacillati; Cyanobacteriota; Cyanophyceae; Oscillatoriales. The record is from RNAcentral. RNAcentral also lists the same sequence under 16 other names.
GGGCGUGUAGCUCAGUGGAUAGAGCACGUGACUACGGAUCACGGUGUCGGGGGUUCGAAUCCCUCCUCGCCCG